RNAcentral lists this ribosomal RNA (644 nucleotides) under Proteus mirabilis. RNAcentral's name for it is "partial 23S ribosomal RNA". It matches the Rfam family "Bacterial large subunit ribosomal RNA", at positions 911 to 1556 of the family's 2925-position model. The record is from RNAcentral. Lineage: Bacteria; Pseudomonadati; Pseudomonadota; Gammaproteobacteria; Enterobacterales; Morganellaceae.
UGUUUCGACUAGGGGGUCAUCCCGACUUACCAACUCGAUGCAAACUGCGAAUACCGAAGAAUGUUAUCACGGGAGACACACGGCGGGUGCUAACGUCCGUCGUGAAGAGGGAAACAACCCAGACCGCCAGCUAAGGUCCCAAAGUCAUGGUUAAGUGGGAAACGAAGUGGGAAGGCUCAGACAGCCAGGAUGUUGGCUUAGAAGCAGCCAUCAUUUAAAGAAAGCGUAAUAGCUCACUGGUCGAGUCGGCCCGCGCGGAAGAUGUAACGGGGCUAAACCAUGCACCGAAGCUGCGGCAGCGACACAAAGUGUUGUUGGGUAGGGGAGCGUUCUGUAAGCCUGCGAAGGUGUACUGUGAGGUAUGCUGGAGGUAUCAGAAGUGCGAAUGCUGACAUAAGUAACGAUAAUGCGGGUGAAAAACCCGCACGCCGGAAGACCAAGGGUUCCUGUCCAACGUUAAUCGGGGCAGGGUGAGUCGACCCCUAAGGCGAGGCUGAAAAGCGUAGUCGAUGGGAAACGGGUUAAUAUUCCCGUACUGGUGGUAACUGCGAUGGGGGAACGGAGAAGGCUAGGUUGUCCGGGCGACGGUCGUCCCGGUUCAAGCAGGUAGGCAGAGUGAUUAGGCAAAUCCGGUCACUUAAUGC